RNAcentral lists this ribosomal RNA (465 nucleotides) under Treponema sp. oral taxon H45. Its description in RNAcentral is "bacterial SSU rRNA". It matches the Rfam family "Bacterial small subunit ribosomal RNA", at positions 469 to 1228 of the family's 1533-position model. The record is from RNAcentral. Lineage: Bacteria; Pseudomonadati; Spirochaetota; Spirochaetia; Treponematales; Treponemataceae.
AUGACGGUAAUCAUGCGAAUAAGCCCCGGCUAAUUACGUGCCAGCAGCCGCGGUAACACGUAAGGGGCGAGCGUUGUUCGGAAUUAUUGGGCGUAAAGGGUAUGUAGGCGGUUAGGUAAGCCCUGGUGUGAAAUCUACGAAGCUCAACUCGUAAACUGCAUUGGGUACUGCUUGACUUGAAUCACGGAGGGGAAACCGGAAUUCCAAGUGUAGGGGUGGAAUCUGUAGAUAUUUGGAAGAACACCGGUGGCGAAGGCGGGUUUCUGGCCGAUGAUUGACGCUGAUAUACGAAGGUGCGGGAGCAAACAGAUUAGAUACCCGGUAAUCCGCACAGUAACGAUGUACACUAGGUGUCGGAGCAGAGCUUCGGUGCGACGCAACGCAUAGUGUACGCCUGGAGUAUGCCGCAGGUAACUCAAGAUGACGGGCACCACGUGACUUGUAUCAUAUCCAACUAUGUGAUAC